UACCAAACAGCUUGCGAUUAUAUGCGGA
RNAcentral lists this small RNA (28 nucleotides) under Bombyx mori (domestic silkworm). RNAcentral's name for it is "ovarian small RNA-5999". Lineage: Eukaryota; Metazoa; Arthropoda; Insecta; Lepidoptera; Bombycidae. The record is from RNAcentral.